This is a non-coding RNA of Pelobates cultripes (western spadefoot toad), 612 nucleotides long. Lineage: Eukaryota; Metazoa; Chordata; Amphibia; Anura; Pelobatidae. The record is from the annotation of a GenBank genome assembly.
GCAGGAUUUAGUGUAGGGUGUUAUUGUCUUUCCAAUCUUUCUCUUUUGUUCCCGUCUUCCACUUCGUCUUCCUCUAAGCUUAAAAUUAUUUUCUGGGAACGUGAGGGGUGCGGUGUCUGGGCUAGUGGGGGCUGGUGAGUGCGUAUUUCUAAAAAAUGGUCCUCAUUAUCAAAGUCUGAAUCGACUGAUAAAAGUUGGUACCUAUUAGGGUGAUUGGGAAUAGUGGGUGAUUUUGAGUAGUUAGAAUACUCAUUUUGAUCAUUUGUAUACCUUGAUCUUUGUGGUUUGGGUGAAAAGUUUAAACCAGAAGAGUUGUAGUAUCUAGGGGAUUGAGGUACAGGAUUAGAGUUGUGGUGAGGAAAUUUCCUUAGUUUAUGUGGGGGUAAUUGGUAUGUGUUGGUGGUACCUUGAUAAGGUAAUUUAGAAGGGACGUAGUGCUGGUGAGAGAAAGUAUUUUUGGGUCUCAUUGUAGAUGGGGAUUGAUGAUGGGACUUCCGUGUGAUAUAAUUCUGGUAUUUGGAAGAUGGUUGGUAUGCCAUAUUAGUGUAAGAAUGGGAAUUGUUGUGUGUAUAAUUAAGAUUUUGAUAAUUUGGUCUAGAGGGAUAAUUGUCU